Molecule: ribosomal RNA, 482 nt
Filed under: uncultured bacterium
Lineage: Bacteria
Description: partial 16S ribosomal RNA
Rfam family: Bacterial small subunit ribosomal RNA
Source: RNAcentral
AUUGAACGCUGGCGGCAUGCUUUACACAUGCAAGUCGAACGGUAACAGGCCGCAAGGUGCUGACGAGUGGCGAACGGGUGAGUAAUGCAUCGGAACGUGCCCAGUCGUGGGGGAUAACUACUCGAAAGAGUAGCUAAUACCGCAUACGAUCUAUGGAUGAAAGCGGGGGACCGUAAGGCCUCGCGCGAUUGGAGCGGCCGAUGUCAGAUUAGGUAGUUGGUGGGGUAAAGGCUCACCAAGCCAACGAUCUGUAGCUGGUCUGAGAGGACGACCAGCCACACUGGGACUGAGACACGGCCCAGACUCCUACGGGAGGCAGCAGUGGGGAAUUUUGGACAAUGGGCGCAAGCCUGAUCCAGCAAUGCCGUGUGCAGGAAGAAGGCCUUCGGGUUGUAAACUGCUUUUGUACGGAACGAAACGGCUCUGGUUAAUACCCGGGGCUAAUGACGGUACCGUAAGAAUAAGCACCGGCUAACUACGUG